AGAUAAAAGAAUAAAAGCAGGCUGCGGGAGCCAGCCGUGGUAACCCACUGGGGUCCGCUUCCACACCGUGGAAGGCUUGUUCUUUCACUCUUUGCAAUAAAUCUUGCUACUGCUCACUCUUUGGGUCCACGCUGCCUUUAUGAGCUGUAACACUCACGGCGAAAGUCUGCAGCUUCACUCCUGAA
This 185-nucleotide long non-coding RNA is filed under the name Pongo abelii (Sumatran orangutan). RNAcentral's name for it is "lincRNA". The record is from RNAcentral. Lineage: Eukaryota; Metazoa; Chordata; Mammalia; Primates; Hominidae.